AGAGUUUGAUCCUGGCUCAGAUUGAACGCUGGCGGCAUGCUUUACACAUGCAAGUCGAACGGCAGCACGGGGGCAACCCUGGUGGCGAGUGGCGAACGGGUGAGUAAUGUAUCGGAACAUGUCCGGAAGUGGGGGAUAACGUAGCGAAAGUUACGCUAAUACCGCAUAUGCCCUGAGGGGGAAAGGAGGGGAUCGCAAGACCUUUCGCUUUCGGAGUGGCCGAUAUCAGAUUAGCUAGUUGGUGAGGUAAAGGCUCACCAAGGCGACGAUCUGUAGCUGGUCUGAGAGAACGACCAGCCACACUGGGACUGAGACACGGCCCAGACUCCUACGGGAGGCAGCAGUGGGGAAUUUUGGACAAUGGGGGCAACCCUGAUCCAGCCAUGCCGCGUGAGUGAAGAAGGCCUU
RNAcentral lists this ribosomal RNA (408 nucleotides) under uncultured bacterium. RNAcentral's name for it is "bacterial SSU rRNA". It matches the Rfam family "Bacterial small subunit ribosomal RNA", at positions 8 to 418 of the family's 1533-position model. The record is from RNAcentral.